ACUUUUGAAAGUCAGCCCUCGUUAAAGAGGGUAGACCUGUCGACGCCGAUGGUAUACGCCCUUCGAGACACGAAGAUGUACUGCUUCUUUACGUGACAUGGUGGACGUCCUGAGAGCUCACGUGAUUGUCAGCUUCCUGACCGAUCGGCAUCUUAGAAAGGGAUUCCAGGAAGAGGACGCCUCCUCAUUGCUCCCUUGGGUGCACCGUGAUUCAUACAGAAGAGAUUUGAUAUAAAGAAGGAGAAGAAGCAAUAUUAAAAAAAGAAGACAAGGAACAAGAAAAAGGUACUAAAAGAGUAAGAAUCCCAAGGGAGUUGCGUGCUCCUGAAUGACGCAGCAACUCGCCAACCUUAAGAAGCCUCUAAUACGCCUCUAAAAAUGACCAGAGGGAUUCUUUCGUUUCCAUUGAGCGACGCCUCGAGUCACUCCGCGGUUCAUUCAUUCGUUGUGAGCUUCUCGUGGAACAGGCCGAAGUCCGACUCGAGUGGAGUGAAGAGGAGUGUGAAGUGGACCGGAUGGAAUUUCGUUUCUGACAGGCCGUCUCUGCUUUUCGUGACUCGCGAUUGCGCAAAAUAGAGAAAGGGAUUCGAUGAUGUGGAUGGAACUAGGAAGACGAGUGGAUUAUUAGGCAGAAGAAGAGGCAACUUCUGCAACAGUGAUGACGGUGGUCCACCGUCGAGGAUACCCGAAGUAAUAUGAGCAGAGUCUCGCAAAACAUCGGCUGUCGCUCACAGCGUGAAACAUCCUGCGGCUAAAACCCAGAACCCACUCGAGUAAACCAGGAAUUCCUUCGAAGUUCCCAAAUGCUCGGUUAUAUCCACACUCCUCAUCAAUAUUUGGCCUCUUCGUGGAUUCGAGUGCCACGUCAUUUGAAGUUUUACCAUCGCCGCCACAGACAUGUCGAUCCGGUUAGAAAGAAGUGUCUACUGUACUCGAUGACUUUUCGAAUUCAAGCCUCGGGAAUCCUACCGAAGGGUCAGACAGCUUGGCACCUUCCAAGACAUCGUAAGAUCGGACAAGUGUGCUUUUACGAGUUAAAGUUAGACGAGUAGAAGAGAGAGAGAGAGAGAGAGAUGAGCGACCGCCGAUUUGCUAGCUAUUUGUUUAUCUUGAUUUUAUAUAAACGCUAGAAUAAAGUAGAGAUAGCAUAAAUGAAUGGACUAUAGAUGUAAGAAUUGAAAGAGUUUGAUAACGAAAGAAAGAGAAGAAAAUAGUGAAAAUUGAAGAGAAAAAAAAAGUGUUCCUCCGGGACAAUUUAAACUCGUAACAAAAAGAAGAAGAAAAAUAUUUUAAAGUGGAAACUCAAUUUUGACUCCAAUCUUCUGCGCAUGUGCAUCCCGGAAUUCAUGGAAAUCGCAAUGACGACAUAGAGUUGCACGCUGCGAUGCUGUAGAAUGGAAGAAAAUAAAUGGAGGAAAAGGAAUAAGAGCUCGCAACAGACUCAUGUUGAUUUUGGCUCCUGGCCGCGUUUCGGUAGGACGGUUAGAAAUAUCGGGUGCUGAAAUAAUUUGACAAAACCGCGCAAUUCUUCGGCGUUGCAACCGAUCGGUCUUAUCUUUUAAAAGUCCUUCGACUUCUUUCCCCCUGCCGUAGUAUCCCAAUUGGCUGACUUUCUCCUCGAGCAGAGUGCCGUUCACGAUAGAGCCAGAAUAGUCUGGGGAAAAUCACCGAUUUGACUCCACGAACAAACCAAUAAAUCUCACAGGUCGAAAGAGCAAUAUAUCUACUCGUGAGAGAAGCAGAGUACGGGGGAGAGCGAGAUAGAUCCAGAAGAGGAUACAUAUACAGUUAGAUAUAAGACUAACGUAAGAGGUAGAAAGAGGGAAAGAGAAACUCUAGGUGGGUGAUAUAUUUUAAGCGCGAGCCGCGUGCGCCGUGUCGUCUCCUGCGGCACGCCCCAAAAUUCAAGAAACGCCAAAAAAUCUCACUUAAGCUCACCGUCUCUUUAACACGAGUCAUACCGUACUCUAAAAAUACACCGUUGUAUCAAGCUAUUUAGAAAUUGCAGUGUAUGGCAUUGCGAGGUGUCCAAUGUUUGUGAUUUUAUUUAAUGAACUUUGAUUGCUACCUGCCUAUUGAAAAUAAUGUGUGCGUAUAAGCUAAGAGAUAAGUAGUAAGGAUAAGGUGUGCAUGUACAUUGAUGGUGAUGGAGAAUGAAAGGAAAUAAAGAAAGAAAAAAACGCGGCUGGCAAGUAGCUCUCGUGGGACGUGGGAAAACGCGUAGGCGAGAGAGCGACUCGAUGCCCAGGACUAUUCACCUGUCAACU
Molecule: long non-coding RNA, 2267 nt
Organism: Cephus cinctus (wheat stem sawfly)
Lineage: Eukaryota; Metazoa; Arthropoda; Insecta; Hymenoptera; Cephidae
Exons: 3
Source: RefSeq, a predicted model, not a curated record